RNAcentral lists this unclassified non-coding RNA (619 nucleotides) under Pogonomyrmex barbatus (red harvester ant). RNAcentral describes it as "high mobility group protein DSP1-like, transcript variant X4". The record is from RNAcentral. Lineage: Eukaryota; Metazoa; Arthropoda; Insecta; Hymenoptera; Formicidae.
UUUUUUAAAUUAAUUGUUUAUGAUUUCUCGAGUUUUCAAAAAAUCGUUUAUUCAUUCCCGUUCUUUCGCGGAUCUUCAAGCAAGUUUUUCAAAAAAAAGCGAGAUAUUUGGUGAAUUCUAUUGCAAUCGGAGAAUUGUGAAACGUAGAAUCGAUCAUCGUGUCCAUGUGCUUGAAGAAAAGUCCGUGCUCCGUGAUUAAUCCAUUACGGAUUUUUCGGAGUAAAUACGACGCGAGCGUAAAACGUAUUUGAAUUUAGUAACGUAUACGAAUAUUUGUGUAUAAAUACUAUUCGCCCUUUCCCGAAACCGAUUUGCUCUCCGGGUUGAUUUCGUACGAAAAGAAAACGAGAGAGAUGUGAACGCCGAUGUGAAUUAACGAGACGGUUUUCAUCAGUUUUGAGGGGUUUGGAAAGAUCGUGCGACAACGGGGGCCAGUUAAGCCAGGAGCAGAGUUCGGGCCGAGAGACCGGACCGAACACGAGAGGCGUCGGUGACAGGCCUGCCGGAUACGUCGCGCAACGAGAUAUGGAUUGGUCCCUGAAAGCACGCCGAACAGUGGACCGUUUCGUAGCGAACAGAAAUGAGGACACGAGGCGGAUGAGUGCAUUUCCACUAACGA